This 445-nucleotide ribosomal RNA is filed under the name uncultured bacterium. RNAcentral's name for it is "bacterial SSU rRNA". It matches the Rfam family "Bacterial small subunit ribosomal RNA", at positions 958 to 1398 of the family's 1533-position model. The record is from RNAcentral.
AACGCGAAGAACCUUACCCGGGCUUGAACUACGGAUGGUAAGUCCCUAGAAACAGGGGCUGACCCGCAAGGGAGUCCGCAGAGGUGCUGCAUGGUUGUCGUCAGCUCGUGUCGUGAGAUGUUGGGUUAAGUCCCGCAACGAGCGCAACCCCUAUCCAAUGUUGCUAAUCCCGCAAGGGAUGCACUCUUUGGAAACUGCCUUCGAUAAGAAGGAGGAAGGUGGGGACGACGUCAAAUCCUCAUGGCCCUUAUGUCCGGGGCUACACACGUGUUACAAUGGCCGGUACAAUGGGAAGCAAUACCGUAAGGUGGAGCAAAACCAGGAAAGCCGGCCCCAGUUCAGAUUGUGGGCUGCAACUCGCCCACAUGAAGGCGGAAUCGCUAGUAAUCGCUGAUCAGCAGGCAGCGGUGAAUACGGUUCCCGGGCUUGUACACACCGAGACGUA